This 740-nucleotide ribosomal RNA is filed under the name Priocnemis minorata. RNAcentral describes it as "SSU rRNA". It matches the Rfam family "Eukaryotic small subunit ribosomal RNA", at positions 47 to 759 of the family's 1831-position model. Lineage: Eukaryota; Metazoa; Arthropoda; Insecta; Hymenoptera; Pompilidae. The record is from RNAcentral.
AGCCAUGCAUGUCUCAGUGCAUGCCGAAUUAAGGUGAAACCGCGAAUGGCUCAUUAAAUCAGUUAUGGUUCCUUGGAUCAUACAAAAAUUUACUUGGAUAACUGUGGUAAUUCUAGAGCUAAUACAUGCAAACUAGAGUUCCUCUCAGAGAUGGGAGGAACGCUUUUAUUAGAUCAAAACCAAUCGGUGGCGGGUGGUUCGCCAUUCGUUCAUCGUUUGCUUUGGUGACUCUGAAUAACUUUGUGCUGAUCGCACGGUCCUAGUACCGGCGACGCAUCUUUCAAAUGUCUGCCUUAUCAACUGUCGAUGGUAGGUUUUGCGCCUACCAUGGUUGUAACGGGUAACGGGGAAUCAGGGUUCGAUUCCGGAGAGGGAGCCUGAGAAACGGCUACCACAUCCAAGGAAGGCAGCAGGCGCGCAAAUUACCCACUCCCGGCACGGGGAGGUAGUGACGAAAAAUAACGAUACGGGACUCAUCCGAGGCCCCGUAAUCGGAAUGAGUACACUUUAAAUCCUUUAACAAGGAUCCAUUGGAGGGCAAGUCUGGUGCCAGCAGCCGCGGUAAUUCCAGCUCCAAUAGCGUAUAUUAAAGUUGUUGCGGUUAAAAAGCUCGUAGUUGAAUCUGUGUGCCACACUGUCGGUACACCGCUCGUCGGUGCUUACUGACACGAUGUGGGACGUCCUACCGGUGGGCUUAGCUUUGCCUUGUGCUUGGCGGUCCAACUAUACAUCCCAUCGCG